AGUGAACGCUGGCGGUAGGCCUAACACAUGCAAGUCGAACGGCAGCACAGUAAAAGCUUGCUCUUACGGGUGGCGAGUGGCGGACGGGUGAGGAAUACAUCGGAAUCUACUUUUUCGUGGGGGAUAACGUAGGGAAACUUACGCUAAUACCGCAUACGACCUACGGGUGAAAGCAGGGGAUCUUCGGACCUUGCGCGAUUGAAUGAGCCGAUGUCGGAUUAGCUAGUUGGCGGGGUAAAGGCCCACCAAGGCGACGAUCCGUAGCUGGUCUGAGAGGAUGAUCAGCCACACUGGAACUGAGACACGGUCCAGACUCCUACGGGAGGCAGCAGUGGGGAAUAUUGGACAAUGGGCGCAAGCCUGAUCCAGCCAUACCGCGUGGGUGAAGAAGGCCUUCGGGUUGUAAAGCCCUUUUGUUGGGAAAGAAAAGCAGCGGGUUAAUACCCCGCUGUUCUGACGGUACCCAAAGAAUAAGCACCGGCUAACUUCGUG
This 492-nucleotide ribosomal RNA is filed under the name uncultured bacterium. Its description in RNAcentral is "partial 16S ribosomal RNA". It matches the Rfam family "Bacterial small subunit ribosomal RNA", at positions 29 to 507 of the family's 1533-position model. The record is from RNAcentral.